This 76-nucleotide transfer RNA is filed under the name Mycoplasmoidaceae bacterium. RNAcentral describes it as "tRNA-Glu". It matches the Rfam family "tRNA". From Rfam's summary of the family: Transfer RNA (tRNA) molecules are approximately 80 nucleotides in length. Their secondary structure includes four short double-helical elements and three loops (D, anti-codon, and T loops). The record is from RNAcentral. Lineage: Bacteria; Bacillati; Mycoplasmatota; Mycoplasmoidales; Mycoplasmoidaceae. RNAcentral also lists the same sequence under 1 other name.
UGCCCGUUAGUGGAGCGAUUAACACGUCACACUCUCAAUGUGAAGAUCACGGGUUUAAAUCCCGUACGGGUAACCA